RNAcentral lists this ribosomal RNA (253 nucleotides) under uncultured bacterium. RNAcentral's name for it is "partial 16S ribosomal RNA". It matches the Rfam family "Bacterial small subunit ribosomal RNA", at positions 524 to 776 of the family's 1533-position model. The record is from RNAcentral.
UACAGAGGAGCCAAGCGUUGUCCGGAUUGACUGGGCGUAAAGCGCACGCAGGCGGACGCGCGCGUGGGGUGUGAAAUCUGGCCGCUUAACGGCCAGGCGCCAUCCCAUACGGCGCGUCUGGAGUGAAGCAGAGGUCGGUGGAAUUGCCGGUGUAGUGGUGAAAUGCGUAGAGAUCGGCAGGAACACCCAGGGGGAAACCAGCCGACUGGGCAUCUACUGACGCUGAGGUGCGAGAGCGUGGGGAGCGAACAGG